Cinara cedri is the source of this 346-nucleotide non-coding RNA. The record is from the annotation of a GenBank genome assembly. Lineage: Eukaryota; Metazoa; Arthropoda; Insecta; Hemiptera; Aphididae.
CUUUAUAAAUAUUUUGUUGUUCUCGUAUGUUAUUGUUAUUUUGACGAAUAGGUAUAUUUUGUAUUCACUUUAUCAUAUUAUAAAUCCCAAAUACAUUUACCGGUCGCACUGAGGAAAAUUGACGAUGACUUUUUUUUUUUGGUUUUUUUUUUACGCAGUAUUAUAACGUUAACUGCACCAGCGACGGCAUUUCAGUUGCCUUUGACAGACCCAGGGACAAGUAUAUUAUAUACUUUUUCGAUAAAACAAACACUUUGAUUUCGUAUGCGGCGACUGGGUGAUGAAUCGUGACGUUUAAAAUCCUUUUAACCUAAAUCCGCACACGUAUUCACGAGAAGUAAUUUCG